AAGUCGUAACAAGGUUUCCGUAGGUGAACCUGCGGAAGGAUCAUUAGUGAAUUUUAGGGUGCUCUCCUUCGCGGAGAGGCCUGACCUCCACUCUCCAACACUGUGCACUAUUUGGCUUGCGAGAAGAAGCGCUUCAGCGUGGUAAUCGAGCAAGCGGCUUCAUUUUAAACACUAGUUAAAGAAUGUAACCAAAAACAAAACUAAAAAAACUUUCAACAACGGAUCUCUUGGCUCUC
Molecule: unclassified non-coding RNA, 236 nt
Filed under: air metagenome
Description: partial contains small subunit ribosomal RNA, internal transcribed spacer 1, and 5.8S ribosomal RNA
Rfam family: Eukaryotic small subunit ribosomal RNA (bases 1-46)
Source: RNAcentral